AAAAAUACAGCAGUGCAAAGUUUCACUAAUAUGGCAAAAAACAUACAAACAUGUUUGUUUCCUCUACAUCUAUUCCAUAUUGAUCAACACACACCAAAUCAAACCCUAAUUUCUUCACCAUAAAAUCCAUAGUAACAAAGGACAAAGAGGAUCAGAAGACAAAAACCCUAGCAGUCAUCCUAUUCCCACACAUCAGAAGCAAAAACCCUAACCACUUAGAACAAUUAAACCUAACUCAUUUGUCUCACACAACAAAUAGUACAAAAACAUCAUUAAAAAG
Molecule: long non-coding RNA, 280 nt
Filed under: Lathyrus oleraceus (garden pea)
Lineage: Eukaryota; Viridiplantae; Streptophyta; Magnoliopsida; Fabales; Fabaceae
Description: Pisum sativum (pea) long non-coding RNA (PSAT_LNC026719)
Source: RNAcentral